UCGUAUCUGCAGCCCGACUUGAACGGAGCUCUUUUUGUCAUUGCGAUUCUAGAAAAGUUCAACUUACGACCUAGCUCUCUUCGCAAUGACAAAAAAGCGGGAGUGGAAGGCGGAAAAGCUG
RNAcentral lists this unclassified non-coding RNA (121 nucleotides) under Epilithonimonas lactis. RNAcentral's name for it is "Chryseobacterium halperniae Flavo-1 RNA". Lineage: Bacteria; Pseudomonadati; Bacteroidota; Flavobacteriia; Flavobacteriales; Weeksellaceae. The record is from RNAcentral.